RNAcentral lists this ribosomal RNA (118 nucleotides) under Limosilactobacillus reuteri. RNAcentral describes it as "Lactobacillus reuteri partial 23S ribosomal RNA". It matches the Rfam family "Bacterial large subunit ribosomal RNA", at positions 2811 to 2925 of the family's 2925-position model. Lineage: Bacteria; Bacillati; Bacillota; Bacilli; Lactobacillales; Lactobacillaceae. The record is from RNAcentral.
UUCCCAUGUCCUUCGGGAAAGUAAGACCCCUCAGAGAUGAUGAGGUAGAUAGGAUGGAAGUGGAAGUGCCGUGAGGCAUGGAGCGGACCAUUACUAAUCGGUCGAGGACUUAACCAAG